Long non-coding RNA from Peromyscus leucopus (white-footed mouse), 1066 nucleotides. RefSeq lists it as uncharacterized. NCBI's taxonomy places the organism in Eukaryota, Metazoa, Chordata, Mammalia, Rodentia, Cricetidae. The record is from RefSeq and is a predicted model, not a curated record. The transcript has 4 exons.
GUUCUGUUCUCUGACCCCAGAUAAGUUUAUUAGGGUGCACAAUAUUUUGGGGAACACAAAACCACCACAGUAUGCUACAUCAAUUGAUGAGUAUUAUACAUAAAUAAGAAAUGUCAGAAAUGCAGUUUUCACAGUAGUGUGUUCACUAAGGGUUAAUUUGAAGCUCUACAUGUCUGAUUCCCAGAAGAAUCAUGCAAUCUUGAAAACACUUAGUGUUACAGUGUAUUAAUAGUGUGUUCCUUGAGUGCAUGUAGUGAAAAAGAAGGUAGUUGUCACGUCUUAAGAGAAAGGUUGAGUUAGCCUUCCAAAAACAAACACAAUGUCAGGUCAUGUGCAGUGAAUGGAAUUAACAGAUUAAAUCUCACAAAAAGAAGACUAGUAAACUUAGAAGCAUGAGGGGAAAGUUCUGAAAAGGUGUUCAAUGUCAGUGAAGUGCCUCAGUAGUCUUGUUAUUAGAGUCCCUAAAGAAAAAAGGAAGGGUAACAAAUAAUGCUUGAAAUUCUAGAUGAAAAGCAACAAAUAUGAGAGCGAAACCCAUAAACCAAAGAAUCUCAGGGAAUUCCAGGCACAAGAAACAGGAAAUCCUGCCAACACGUGCUUGAAACCAGUGAUGUAAACGUUUCUAUGAAAAUAGCAGUCUUCUCAGAAACCUAAAUCAGAAAACACUGAAGCAGCAGCAUCUCUACUGGAAGAAAAGUAGACCUAGAAUACUAUACACAGCUAAGAUGUACUUCAGAAACAAUUCCAAGUCCUUGAUGUAAGGAAGUUGAAGACCUACAUUUUAAAUAACAGUAUACACAGAUCUUAAGAGAAAGAUUGAGAGAAUCUUUCCAUGAUGUUCAGUAUGUGGAACCUCCAUUUGACGAUUCAAUUGCUGAUAUAGGACAGUCUUAAAGACCUCAAAUAUGAUGAAAAAGCCUUCUCUCAUUUAUCACUUGACUUGGCGGACCGAGUAUUGGCAGCAGUCAAAGAACUGGGAUUGCCAGCAGAUGGAUCUGGGAUGUGGCAUGGGACAGCUGGGUACAAGCUAAACAUGAAACAGAGACCUACGUGGCAUUGGUUUUGG